RNAcentral lists this ribosomal RNA (497 nucleotides) under uncultured bacterium. Its description in RNAcentral is "partial 16S ribosomal RNA". It matches the Rfam family "Bacterial small subunit ribosomal RNA", at positions 28 to 507 of the family's 1533-position model. The record is from RNAcentral.
GAUGAACGCUGGCGGCGUGCCUAAUACAUGCAAGUCGAGCGAACAGACGAGGAGCUUGCUCCUCUGACGUUAGCGGCGGACGGGUGAGUAACACGUGGAUAACCUACCUAUAAGACUGGGAUAACUUCGGGAAACCGGAGCUAAUACCGGAUAAUAUAUUGAACCGCAUGGUUCAAUAGUGAAAGACGGUUUUGCUGUCACUUAUAGAUGGAUCCGCGCCGCAUUAGCUAGUUGGUAAGGUAACGGCUUACCAAGGCAACGAUGCGUAGCCGACCUGAGAGGGUGAUCGGCCACACUGGAACUGAGACACGGUCCAGACUCCUACGGGAGGCAGCAGUAGGGAAUCUUCCGCAAUGGGCGAAAGCCUGACGGAGCAACGCCGCGUGAGUGAUGAAGGUCUUCGGGUCGUAAAGCUCUGUUAUUAGGGAAGAACAAAUGUGUAAGUAACUAUGCACGUCUUGACGGUACCUAAUCAGAAAGCCACGGCUAACUACGUG